This 440-nucleotide ribosomal RNA is filed under the name uncultured bacterium. Its description in RNAcentral is "bacterial SSU rRNA". It matches the Rfam family "Bacterial small subunit ribosomal RNA", at positions 340 to 773 of the family's 1533-position model. The record is from RNAcentral.
UACGGGAGGCAGCAGUGGGGAAUAUUGCACAAUGGGCGCAAGCCUGAUGCAGCCAUGCCGCGUGUAUGAAGAAGGCCUUCGGGUUGUAAAGUACUUUCAGUCGUGAGGAAGGUGUUAAGGUUAAUAACCUUAGCAAUUGACGUUAGCGACAGAAGAAGCACCGGCUAACUCCGUGCCAGCAGCCGCGGUAAUACGGAGGGUGCGAGCGUUAAUCGGAAUUACUGGGCGUAAAGGGCACGCAGGCGGUUAAUUAAGUUGGAUGUGAAAUCCCCGGGCUUAACCUGGGAAUGGCAUUCAAGCUGGUUAGCUAGAGUCUUGUAGAGGGGGUAGAAUUCCAGUGUGUAGCGGUGAAAUGCGUAGAGAUGUGGAGGAAUACCGGUGGCGAAGGCGGCCCCUGGACAAACGGCUGACGCUCAUGUGCGAAAGCGUGGGGAGCGAAA